This is a long non-coding RNA of Cydia fagiglandana, 421 nucleotides long. RefSeq lists it as uncharacterized. NCBI's taxonomy places the organism in Eukaryota, Metazoa, Arthropoda, Insecta, Lepidoptera, Tortricidae. The transcript has 2 exons. The record is from RefSeq and is a predicted model, not a curated record.
AUAUUAUAUGUUUCUUUCAUUUACAGCAAAUUUCGUUGACUACACGAGGCAAGGGUUGUUAGACAUGACAUGUCUACAAGCUAUAAGUGACGUUAAAAAGACAAAAAUUGCAGAAAGGACCAAUCUCACUAAUACCGAUAACAAAUCCCACGAUGUUCAUAUAUUACGUGAUAAACUCGAAAACGCAUGUCGAAAGGCAUCCUUCGAUAAAUGCAAUAAAGCUUGCAAAUCCGCAAGCGACAAAACUUGCAAAAAACAUGAAUGUAUUUCUGCGAAGGAAAAGGUUUUGAGGAAAAGUUGCAAAAGACGAUGUAUGGACAGCUAUGGAUAUCGAGAAAACAGUUCCAGUGAGAGUGACUCAGAUGACGACUCGGAUGAAGAUUCAGGCAGUGAUUAAAUUAAUUUAAAAUAAUUAUACGAG